AUGUUCUCUGUAGCUCUGCUGCUGCUGCUGGCUGCUGCAUCCUGUGUGAAGUGUGAGCAGCUGACACAGCCAGCCUCUGUGACUGUGCAGCCAGGUCAACGUCUGACCAUCAGCUGUCAGGUCUCUUAUUCUCUGGGCUACUACACAGCUUGGAUCAGACAGCCUGCUGGAAAAGGACUGGAAUGGAUCGGGAUGAAAGAUACUGGAAGCUCAUACUACAAAGAUUCACUGAAGAACAAGUUUAGUAUUGAUUUAGACACUUCCAGUAAAACAGUGACUCUGAAUGGACAGAAUAUGCAGCCUGGAGACUCUGCUGUGUAUUACUGUGCCAGAGUCCCACAGUGA
Molecule: non-coding RNA, 345 nt
Organism: Poecilia reticulata (guppy)
Lineage: Eukaryota; Metazoa; Chordata; Actinopteri; Cyprinodontiformes; Poeciliidae
Source: the annotation of a RefSeq genome assembly